Molecule: ribosomal RNA, 609 nt
Filed under: Poa bajaensis
Lineage: Eukaryota; Viridiplantae; Streptophyta; Magnoliopsida; Poales; Poaceae
Description: eukaryotic LSU rRNA
Rfam family: 5.8S ribosomal RNA (bases 224-382)
Source: RNAcentral
UCGUGACCCUGACCAAAACAGACCGUGAACGUGUCAUCUUGCCUGCCAGCGGCGGCCUUGNCCGUUGCUUGGCCAAAGUCCUCGAUAACCUCCUCUCCUCGGAGCGGGGGCUCGGGGUAAAAGAACCCACGGCGCCGAAGGCGUCAAGGAACACUGUGCCUAACCCGGGGAAGCGGCUGGCUUGCUAGCUGCCCCUCGUGUUGCAAUGCUAUUUAAUCCACACGACUCUCGGCAACNGGAUAUCUCGGCUCUCGCAUCGAUGAAGNAACGUAGCGAAAUGCGAUACCUGGUGUGNAAUUGCAGAAUCCCGCGAACCAUCGAGUCUUUGAACGCAAGUUGCGCCCGAGGCCACAUGGCCGAGGGCACGCCUGCCUGGGCGUCACGCCAAACACGCUCCCACCCCUCAUCGGGUGGUGGGAUGCGGCAUGUGGCUCCCCGUCUUGCAAGGGGCGGUGGGCCGAAGAUGCGGCUGCCGGCGUAUCGUGCCGGACACAGCGCGUGGUGGGCGAACUCGCUUUACUUACCGCAGUGCAUCCGGCCCAUAGCCGACGUGAUGGCCUUAAGGACCCCAUGAACGGAGCGCAUGACGCUCCGACCGCGACCCCAGGU